Molecule: ribosomal RNA, 622 nt
Filed under: Hydrocolus sahlbergi
Lineage: Eukaryota; Metazoa; Arthropoda; Insecta; Coleoptera; Dytiscidae
Description: partial 16S ribosomal RNA
Rfam family: Bacterial large subunit ribosomal RNA
Source: RNAcentral
GUCCUUUAGGUAAUUAUAAUUUAAGGUCUAACCUGCCCAUUGAUAAAUUAAAAGGCCGCAGUAAUUUGACUGUGCAAAGGUAGCAUAAUCAUUAGUUUUUUAAUUAAAAGCUUGUAUGAAUGGUUGGACGAGAUAAAAUCUGUCUCUUAAUAAAAAAUAGAAUUUAAUUUUUAAGUUAAAAAGCUUAAAUUUUAAUAAAAGACGAGAAGACCCUAUAGAUCUUUAUAAAAAUUUUUUUAAUAUUAAUAUAGAUGAUUUUAUUUAUUAUAUAGAUUUUUAUUUUAUUGGGGUAAUAAAAAGAUUAAAAAAAUUCUUUUUUAUUUGACAAAAAUUAUUGAUUUUAUGAUCCAUUAUUAGUGAUUUAAGAUUAAGUUACCUUAGGGAUAACAGCGUAAUUUUUUUUAAGAGUUCUUAUCGAUAAAAAAGUUUGCGACCUCGAUGUUGGAUUAAAAGUAAUCUUAGGUGCAGAAGUUUAAGAUUUUGGUCUGUUCGACCAUUAAAUUUUUACAUGAUCUGAGUUUAGACCGGCGUAAGCCAGGUUGGUUUCUAUCUUUAUUAGUUUAAUAUAUUUUAGUACGAAAGGACCAAAUAUAUAGUAUAUUUAUAUUUAUUUUUUGAAUAU